Molecule: non-coding RNA, 1399 nt
Organism: Paramuricea clavata
Lineage: Eukaryota; Metazoa; Cnidaria; Anthozoa; Malacalcyonacea; Plexauridae
Source: the annotation of a GenBank genome assembly
UACGAUCAGUUGGUGAAUUUUAUUUUGCUACCUGGAUAUUACAGUGUGUCACAAUGUGUAUUAAAUUUAUAGAGCCGAGUGUAUGAAAUCCACCUACCAGUGGUGAACAGGUUUGUAAACAGUUGAAUAGACACCAUAUAUAUCUGGUAAAGCCGGAUUCAUACACCAUACUUCACAUGUGCCCUAUUGAAUUCAAUUAGCCUUUCUGCACAAAGGCAAAAAUCCGCCAUUUUGGGGGUAUGUCUCAGUUACCCUGCUAGCAGAGUAUCCUUUUCACGGCGGAGGAAAAGGAUACUUCUGCUAACAGGGUAUGUCUCAGUGCCCUCGUGAAAGAUUCUAGACAAUUCAAACAACGUGAAAAGCGACUUUUCGUGAAAAGCGAAGGUUGCAACUGUAAAUUUACCAUUAUAAAAACAACUACAAUAUUACUGAAAAAGUUGUAUUUCGCUGUGCGGAGACUCUCAAACCUGGAAGCGGCAGCAACCCAAAAAUGGCCGUGAGAAAGGCCAAGUACGCAAAUUUGAUUCGUGGGGCACAUUUUCUUCUAACGAAUUUAAAUUAAAAACCGUAGUGUGUUUUUGAAAAACUAACCAUUUUAAUGACGUCAUUUAAUAGUUUCAUGUAUUAAUAAUUAGUAAUUCAGCAAAUAUAAAGUUUGCCAUCUUAAUCAGUCGCCGCACCAAAGUCGCAUGUGGCAAGAUAUGUCGAAUUCAAUUCCUCGGAACUAAAUUAAGUUUUUAAAUUAAUGAUUCAAAUGCCAACUUUUGCCAUACCUAAUUACUGAAUUGAAUUCUACACACGUGAAGUAUGGCAUAUAAAAAACACUUCUAAUUACUAUAAUUGAAUAUCCUAGGUUGUAAUCAAACACAAUCAUUAUAGGAAGGUUGUACAAUCUUGUCAAAAUGGCUUAAGAUAAAGUGGAGAUCAAUGCUUUCUUUUUCAGCUAUCCACCUAGGCUCGAUCCAGCCGGUGGGUCUCUCCCACCGGCUGGAUCGAGCCUACUAUCCACCUGAAAUACCAUAAACCUCCGAAUAUAAGCCCUGACCUUAUACUCGUUUGUAAAAUGGGGGGGGGGCUUAUAUGUCAACAACAUUUGAAUAUGGUUGGCUUAUACAUGGUGGGGCUUAUAUUCGGGGAAGGGGGCUUAUAUUCAGUGGUUUACAGUAUUUAUAUCACUCUUUAUACAAACAGCCCAGACUAGAACUAAAAUCUUAACUUUAAUAUAUGUUAUUAAAAUAAUUUAUAUACAAUUGUAUGAAACACGAGAUAUUUUAAAUAUUAUCUGCUUUUUGAUCAAGUUUACUUUUCCUUGUUUUUGCCAUGUGAAUGAAGAGUGAGAUAGUUUCUUUUUCUGGCGCAGGAAUUGUCUUGAAAUGUCGGCUGAUUGUCUACGAGGGAA